AAUCUUGCGCAAUGGGCGAAAGCCUGACGCAGCGACGCCGCGUGGGGGAUGACGGCCUUCGGGUUGUAAACCUCUUUCAGCAGGGACGAAGUUGACGUGUACCUGCAGAAGAAGCGCCGGCUAACUACGUGCCAGCAGCCGCGGUAAUACGUAGGACGCAAGCGUUGUCCGGAAUCAUUGGGCGUAAAGAGCUCGUAGUUGGCCGGUCGCGUCUGCCGUGAAAGCCCGCAGCUUAACUGCGGGUCUGCGGUGGAUACGGGCCGGCUAGAGGUAGGCAGGGGCAAGUGGAAUUCCUGGUGUAGCGGUGAAAUGCGCAGAUAUCAGGAGGAACACCGGUGGCGAAGGCGGCUUGCUGGGCCUUACCUGACGCUGAGGAGCGAAAGCGUGGGGAGCGAACAG
RNAcentral lists this ribosomal RNA (399 nucleotides) under uncultured bacterium. RNAcentral's name for it is "partial 16S ribosomal RNA". It matches the Rfam family "Bacterial small subunit ribosomal RNA", at positions 360 to 775 of the family's 1533-position model. The record is from RNAcentral.